RNAcentral lists this ribosomal RNA (1899 nucleotides) under Shigella flexneri. RNAcentral's name for it is "partial 23S ribosomal RNA". It matches the Rfam family "Bacterial large subunit ribosomal RNA", at positions 328 to 2215 of the family's 2925-position model. Lineage: Bacteria; Pseudomonadati; Pseudomonadota; Gammaproteobacteria; Enterobacterales; Enterobacteriaceae. The record is from RNAcentral.
GUUAGUGGAAGCGUCUGGAAAGGCGUGCGAUACAGGGUGACAGCCCCGUACACAAAAAUGCACAUACUGUGAGCUCGAUGAGUAGGGCGGGACACGUGGUAUCCUGUCUGAAUAUGGGGGGACCAUCCUCCAAGGCUAAAUACUCCUGACUGACCGAUAGUGAACCAGUACCGUGAGGGAAAGGCGAAAAGAACCCCGGCGAGGGGAGUGAAAAAGAACCUGAAACCGUGUACGUACAAGCAGUGGGAGCACGCUUAGGCGUGUGACUGCGUACCUUUUGUAUAAUGGGUCAGCGACUUAUAUUCUGUAGCAAGGUUAACCGAAUAGGGGAGCCGAAGGGAAACCGAGUCUUAACUGGGCGUUAAGUUGCAGGGUAUAGACCCGAAACCCGGUGAUCUAGCCAUGGGCAGGUUGAAGGUUGGGUAACACUAACUGGAGGACCGAACCGACUAAUGUUGAAAAAUUAGCGGAUGACUUGUGGCUGGGGGUGAAAGGCCAAUCAAACCGGGAGAUAGCUGGUUCUCCCCGAAAGCUAUUUAGGUAGCGCCUCGUGAAUUCAUCUCCGGGGGUAGAGCACUGUUUCGGCAAGGGGGUCAUCCCGACUUACCAACCCGAUGCAAACUGCGAAUACCGGAGAAUGUUAUCACGGGAGACACACGGCGGGUGCUAACGUCCGUCGUGAAGAGGGAAACAACCCAGACCGCCAGCUAAGGUCCCAAAGUCAUGGUUAAGUGGGAAACGAUGUGGGAAGGCCCAGACAGCCAGGAUGUUGGCUUAGAAGCAGCCAUCAUUUAAAGAAAGCGUAAUAGCUCACUGGUCGAGUCGGCCUGCGCGGAAGAUGUAACGGGGCUAAACCAUGCACCGAAGCUGCGGCAGCGACGCUUAUGCGUUGUUGGGUAGGGGAGCGUUCUGUAAGCCUGUGAAGGUGUACUGUGAGGUAUGCUGGAGGUAUCAGAAGUGCGAAUGCUGACAUAAGUAACGAUAAAGCGGGUGAAAAGCCCGCUCGCCGGAAGACCAAGGGUUCCUGUCCAACGUUAAUCGGGGCAGGGUGAGUCGACCCCUAAGGCGAGGCCGAAAGGCGUAGUCGAUGGGAAACAGGUUAAUAUUCCUGUACUUGGUGUUACUGCGAAGGGGGGACGGAGAAGGCUAUGUUGGCCGGGCGACGGUUGUCCCGGUUUAAGCGUGUAGGCUGGUUUUCCAGGCAAAUCCGGAAAAUCAAGGCCGAGGCGUGAUGACGAGGCACUACGGUGCUGAAGCAACAAAUGCCCUGCUUCCAGGAAAAGCCUCUAAGCAUCAGGUAACAUCAAAUCGUACCCCAAACCGACACAGGUGGUCAGGUAGAGAAUACCAAGGCGCUUGAGAGAACUCGGGUGAAGGAACUAGGCAAAAUGGUGCCGUAACUUCGGGAGAAGGCACGCUGAUACGUAGGUGAAGCGACUUGCUCGUGGAGCUGAAAUCAGUCGAAGAUACCAGCUGGCUGCAACUGUUUAUUAAAAACACAGCACUGUGCAAACACGAAAGUGGACGUAUACGGUGUGACGCCUGCCCGGUGCCGGAAGGUUAAUUGAUGGGGUUAGCGCAAGCGAAGCUCUUGAUCGAAGCCCCGGUAAACGGCGGCCGUAACUAUAACGGUCCUAAGGUAGCGAAAUUCCUUGUCGGGUAAGUUCCGACCUGCACGAAUGGCGUAAUGAUGGCCAGGCUGUCUCCACCCGAGACUCAGUGAAAUUGAACUCGCUGUGAAGAUGCAGUGUACCCGCGGCAAGACGGAAAGACCCCGUGAACCUUUACUAUAGCUUGACACUGAACAUUGAGCCUUGAUGUGUAGGAUAGGUGGGAGGCUUUGAAGUGUGGACGCCAGUCUGCAUGGAGCCGACCUUGAAAUACCACCCUUUAAUGUUU